UAGUAAAACUUUGUCUCGUCCGUCUUGA
Molecule: small RNA, 28 nt
Filed under: Bombyx mori (domestic silkworm)
Lineage: Eukaryota; Metazoa; Arthropoda; Insecta; Lepidoptera; Bombycidae
Description: ovarian small RNA-22822
Source: RNAcentral